GACCCUCCCUCCCAGACCCUCCUACUUCCUGGACAGCUUCAACAUGGAUGCUGUCCAGGAAGUAGGAGGGUCUGGGAGGGAGGGUC
This 86-nucleotide microRNA precursor is filed under the name Pelobates cultripes (western spadefoot toad). The record is from RNAcentral. Lineage: Eukaryota; Metazoa; Chordata; Amphibia; Anura; Pelobatidae.